Long non-coding RNA from Lolium perenne, 556 nucleotides. RefSeq lists it as uncharacterized. NCBI's taxonomy places the organism in Eukaryota, Viridiplantae, Streptophyta, Magnoliopsida, Poales, Poaceae. The record is from RefSeq and is a predicted model, not a curated record.
CCUUCCAUGUCGCAGGUGCUCAAACAGUAAACACCAGCGACCCAGCCACAGAAUUCAGCAGCAGCUCCAUACAGCCUAUUGAUCCAGCAGCAAGUAACAGAAGAUCUAUACUGCCUGAUCCAUCUGAAAAUAUGCCAAAUCUGCUAGAAGAUGAAAGAACCCCACAAGACACAGCUGACUACGAAUGUCAUGGAGAUAGUCCAUUCUGAUUUUGCAGAGGAAAUAAGCCUAAUUCUCACUAGAGAGGGCAAGAAAAAAGAUUCAGUACCAAGACACUGAUUUCAUUCUUCUGUUUCCUCAGUAUGACCAAUAUUUUACCUUCAUCAACAGAUGAGGCAGACCCGACCAGCGAAGAUAAAUAAGUAUCUACGCCGGUGAACUGAAACUUCGCUUCGGAACAACUGUCCUACUGAUUCCUGUGAGCAGAAAUAUCACGUGUAGUAAUAUUACCUUAUCUGGAACUACCUACCAUGAACACUAUCGGCAUGAUGUAAUAUUAAGCAUCUAAAUAACUAUGUAUAAUCAUCUCAAGUAACCUCUUUUGAUUAUUACUGAA